This 254-nucleotide ribosomal RNA is filed under the name uncultured bacterium. RNAcentral's name for it is "partial 16S ribosomal RNA". It matches the Rfam family "Bacterial small subunit ribosomal RNA", at positions 524 to 776 of the family's 1533-position model. The record is from RNAcentral.
UACGUAGGGGGCGAGCGUUGUCCGGAUUUAUUGGGCGUAAAGAGCUCGUAGGCGGCUUGGCAAGUCGGGUGUGAAACCUCCAGGCUCAACCUGGAGACGCCACUCGAUACUGCCAUGGCUAGAGUCCGGUAGGGGACCACGGAAUUCCUGGUGUAGCGGUGAAAUGCGCAGAUAUCGGGAGGAACACCUAUGGCGAAGGCAGCUCGCUGGGACGUUACUGACGCUGAGACGCGAAAGCGUGGGGAGCAAACAGG